This 377-nucleotide ribosomal RNA is filed under the name uncultured eukaryote. RNAcentral describes it as "partial 18S ribosomal RNA". It matches the Rfam family "Eukaryotic small subunit ribosomal RNA", at positions 592 to 976 of the family's 1831-position model. The record is from RNAcentral.
CAAUAGCGUAUAUUUAAGUUGCUGCAGUUAAAAAGCUCGUAGUUGGAUUUCGGGUGGGAAUGGCCGGUCCGCCGUUUCGGUGUGCACUUGCUACGCCCACCUUGCUGCCGGGGACGUGCUCUUGAGUUCACGCUCGUGACACGGAGUCGGCGAGGUUACUUUGAGUAAAUUAGAGUGUUCAAAGCAGGCCUACGCUCUGAAUACAUUAGCAUGGAAUAACACGAUAGGACUCUGGCCUAUCUUGUUGGUCUGUAGGACCGGAGUAAUGAUUAAGAGGGACAGUCGGGGGCAUUCGUAUUUCAUUGUCAGAGGUGAAAUUCUUGGAUUUAUGAAAGACGAACUACUGCGAAAGCAUUUGCCAAGGAUGUUUUCAUUAA